Microtus oregoni (creeping vole) is the source of this 336-nucleotide long non-coding RNA. RefSeq lists it as uncharacterized. The transcript is spliced from 3 exons. The record is from RefSeq and is a predicted model, not a curated record. Lineage: Eukaryota; Metazoa; Chordata; Mammalia; Rodentia; Cricetidae.
CUGUUAACCUGCAGGAGAAAAAUCUUGGCUUGUUUAGAAGACAUCUUUGAAAGCUUCCUCCCACAGUCAUGGGGACAUCAACAUAAAGCUCCUGGCCUGGCUUGUGGCAGUCUGAGAAGAUGCUGCUGCACAUCAUCCAAGGGCUUUCCAGCUCUGAGAGAAAAAGGAGAGAUGGAGGGCAGUUUAUAGAAGCCAUUUUCCUCCAGACAGACUCACUAUAGAGAAGGAUGUUGGUUAGAUCCUGAAAAGAUCCUGUGAUGAAGAAAUAAACCAGCCUGCAACCUGCCUGCUUCCCCCACCAUCCACACACACACCUUCACAGGAUGGAAUUCUUUG